UUGAUGGAUACCUGGUCAUUAAAUCAUCUGCAAUAACUAAAAGGAGUUGCAGCCUAGUUAUUUUCAUGAACUAAAUGCCCCAAUUCAAUCAACUAUGUGGCCAUGUGAGCAAUUCCUUAGCCUCCUAAUAUUUAAGCAGGCCAGGAGAAUAGUUAUUGUCAUUUUAAGUAAAGAAUGUGUUAGAAUUUAAGAAAAAAUACUAUUUAAAGUAAAAUAUUUCUUUACUUUUACAUCAGCUCUUCAGAACUGAGCUACCAGCAGCCACACUAAUUGAGAGACUUUGGAAUGUGGGUUGGUGAAGGAGGUGAAGCCAGAACAGGAACGGUGAGUCUGUGUGUAGACAGCCGCCCACACUCUCAAGCCUCACCCACUCUGGGCCGCCUGCAUAGAUGUCAUGAGGACAAAGGCUCACCUACGAUCGAAAGCAAUUACAUCAGUUUCUGUGAAUUGUCUCUUUAAAAGUUCUCUCUGGAUUUAAAAUUCAAAACAAUUCUCAAUAAUUUCAUUAUAAAUUUGGGACAUAUAAUCUCACAUUGUUCCAAUAUAUUCAGUGACUGAAGUUCUGAUGGGACUAAAACCCUGUCACACCUUGACACUGGCUACGGAAAGUAUUUCUUAACCUAUCAAGAAUACCAGCAAUCUGUUUUCACUCCACCCCAAAGCACUUAAAUCACGUUAGAACUCUAAAAUGUAAUAAGAACCACAUCAAUAUCUUGUAAUCUCUAAAUGUCAGAUUAAAAUAUGAGUGGAGAA
Molecule: long non-coding RNA, 753 nt
Organism: Aethalodelphis obliquidens (Pacific white-sided dolphin)
Lineage: Eukaryota; Metazoa; Chordata; Mammalia; Artiodactyla; Delphinidae
Exons: 3
Source: RefSeq, a predicted model, not a curated record